GGUGCCUUUUCCUUUGGAGCUCAGCCCCAAACUGGAAACUCUCUGGACUGCUCCUGAGGGAGGCAAUGGGAACUGAGCACUGGGUCACCUGCCCAAGCACCACCUCACUCCAUGUGUUGCAUGUUCAGACUGUGAGGGACUGAAGCGUUGGUAAUGUGUUAAACAUGGCCAAAAUCAUAGAAAGACUUCUUGUCAAACUGCAAGGAAGCAACUGCCUGUCUGUGACCACUGAAGCCUGACUGGAAUUUGGACUGGGAAGCAGGACUUGAGGAAGGCCACUUACACAUGAGACAUUCACGUGAGAAGGGUCAUAAACCACCAAAGACCCCCCAAAGCAUCCCCCCAGCUCAUUCCUGAGGCAUUCCACCACCACAUGAUCCAAGGGAGGCAACAAAUCCAGAGCAUGCCUCAAGACACUGCAAAGCUUCCCUCCCACCCCCAGGGGAGGUGCCUGGAAUCCCCUGAACAGAUAUUUAUCCACUGGACUCUGUGUUUUGUGGGAACUUCACCAAGAAGACCAGAACAGCCAGACCCAGGGAACGCCGCCGGGUUCCAUGGAGUGAUGAUCCAUUUUCCACUGUAAUCUUUCUCUGUCACUUCUUUUCUUCCCCUGAACUCCUUUUCCUAUUUCCUUCUAUCUCUCUUUCUCUUCCCCACGUUUCCCAUUAAAUAAAACCCGUGCUACAGACUUUG
Long non-coding RNA from Pseudopipra pipra, 693 nucleotides. RefSeq lists it as uncharacterized. Lineage: Eukaryota; Metazoa; Chordata; Aves; Passeriformes; Pipridae. The record is from RefSeq and is a predicted model, not a curated record. The transcript is spliced from 2 exons.